GUGAGGAAUAUUGGUCAAUGGGCGGGAGCCUGAACCAGCCAAGUCGCGGGAAGAAAGAAGGAUCUAUGGUUCGUAAACUUCUUUUGCAGGGGAAUAAAGUGCAGGACGUGUCCUGUAUUGUAUGUACCCUGAGAAUAAGGAUCGGCUAACUCCGUGCCAGCAGCCGCGGUAAUACGGAGGAUCCGAGCGUUAUCCGGAUUUAUUGGGUUUAAAGGGUGCGUAGGUGGUUUGAUAAGUCAGCGGUGAAAGUUUGCAGCUUAACUGUAAAAAUGCCGUUGAAGCUGUCGGACUUGAGUGUAAAUGAGGUAGGCAGAAUGCGUGGUGUAGCGGUGAAAUGCAUAGAUAUCACGCAGAACUCCGAUUGCGAAGGCAGCUUACUAAGCUACAACUGACACUGAAGCACGAAAGCGUGGGGAUCAAACAGGAUUAGAAACCCUGGUAGUCC
Molecule: ribosomal RNA, 445 nt
Filed under: uncultured bacterium
Lineage: Bacteria
Description: partial 16S ribosomal RNA
Rfam family: Bacterial small subunit ribosomal RNA
Source: RNAcentral